UACGAAGGGGGCUAGCGUUGCUCGGAAUUACUGGGCGUAAAGGGCGCGUAGGCGGCGGAUCAAGUCAGGCGUGAAAUUCCUGGGCUUAACCUGGGGGCUGCGCUUGAGACUGAUGUGCUUGAGGAUGGCAGAGGCUCGUGGAAUUCCCAGUGUAGAGGUGAAAUUCGUAGAUAUUGGGAAGAACACCGGUGGCGAAGGCGGCGAGCUGGGCCAUUACUGACGCUGAGGCGCGACAGCGUGGGAGCAACAGG
Molecule: ribosomal RNA, 251 nt
Filed under: uncultured bacterium
Lineage: Bacteria
Description: partial 16S ribosomal RNA
Rfam family: Bacterial small subunit ribosomal RNA
Source: RNAcentral